Molecule: long non-coding RNA, 2500 nt
Organism: Xenopus tropicalis (tropical clawed frog)
Lineage: Eukaryota; Metazoa; Chordata; Amphibia; Anura; Pipidae
Exons: 8
Source: RefSeq, a predicted model, not a curated record
CUUUCCAGCCAUCCUACAGGAAAGCCAUAGACUGGCAGCCAAAAGUGGAGUGGGCUGCGGAUGGGUUGGGCGGGGGGCACAAAGUGUCUGAGGGACAACACAUUUUCCCAAACUUUCCCUUUUCGGGAUAUGGUAUACUGGAGGGAAAACUGUCGCACUGGAGCUGGACACUCUCAAGAUGGAAGAUUUGUGUGGACCCUGAAGGCCAGGAUGGGGAGUUUGUUUCUAUCUUUGGUUAUCUAGCUGUAUGAGUGUAAAUAAGCCGUCAUAAAGCUAGAUAACCGAAAGUAGGAAUCACUUCCAAGGCGUCACCUUAGCCGCAGCCAUGCAGGGAGAAUGCCAGCCUGACACCCCACUGCCAAUCAGCUUCAUUCCAGGAAAAAUGCCCUGGUGAUAAAUACUCUGAAAAAUGCUGCACACAGAAGAAAAGGAGUUAAAAUGUCACAGCAGGAGAAUUCAAAAUGGCCUCCGUGAAUAAGACAGCAGACUGAAUCCCCAUCCCUGUGUGGGUUAUGCAAUUCCGCAAAUAGGAAGCAGAAGAAACAUUAGUAUCAACAGCUUGUUAAUUUGACCGUGCGUAUGAGAAGCUCAUCACCAUGUGGUACUCUCGCUGAUCAAGAGAAUAUACGAAUAUGACGAGGCCUAAUUGAGACGAAAAUUUUGGCCCAAAUGACAUCAGUUUCUGGAUUCACCACAAGGAAGAUACUGCUUUGUACUUGGAGGCCAUUUUGAUGGAAUCAAAUGAACAUUUUAAGAUGGCCGCUUGGGCAUGAGGUUAAAAGAAGAUCAAGGGAUCACAAGACUUCAUCACAAUCUCCUCUGACUGCUGGGAGAUGUUCAGUACAUGUGCAGCCUUUAUUUGUGCAACUCAAGCAUGAAAAUUACAUCUCCCAGCUAUAAUGGGCUAGAUGUCAUGAUUACGCACUAUUCAUACAACGAUGGACUGUUUCUCAUUUAAGAUAUUAUCUACAAUGAGGUCCUCAUGAAGACAAACUGAAGAUACAGCUUCACUAAAGCAGACAAACAAAUAUGUUGAAAAGGUUUCAAGAGAGUGCCAUAUGCUGGCCAUGCAUUAUACAUGACAAUAUUUCAGCAUAGCUACUGCAUCCCAUCUUACUAAGAAGAUCUAAGGAAAAAUGGACAUUAUCUGCGAGGCACCUCUUUUCACUGCACAUUUUUAAUAUGGCUUCAAAAUCAGUUUGAAAAGACCUGGCUGUGUUUCCAGAAAAGUGCCAUGGUAUUCAAUUUCACUGACUGCUAAUAUUAAUUAAAUGAAGCAUAGUAUGUUUUCCUUGCCAAGUGGUAAAAAUUCUCUUCAAUCACCCGCUCAAGAUAAUAUGCUCAAGAUAAUAUUAUCUAUGGAGUAUUCAAUAGGAAAUAUUAUAUUCAAACUGUAUUUAGAGAGAUAUCUUCUGUGAAAUGCAUUCAAACUUUGUGUGCCACCUUUCUAAAGGCUGACAAGCAAUUUUGAAUUUAGGAGACCUUACCUGAAAAGAACUACAUGCCACAUAUACAAUCUACAGGUUGAGGCCGCAAGUUGACUGGAAAGCUGUCCCUGUGAGGCCCUUCUGGAGGUCAUGUCCUACAUAAUUCUCCUAUGGAUUAGGAAUUAAAAAAGAAACAUACAUUUUGAGAGAAAACAUUACAAAGAAAUAAUAUAUAGCCUAAUAUGUGAUCUUAUCAAAUUGUGUUAUACAUAUCCGUAAAUAUUGUCUUUUUACCCUGAAACACCAGUUGAUGUUUUAUGGGCUUUCUCACUGAUCACCUGACAGGAAAUAAAUGCACGAAGAGUAUGAGUAAAAUACAUAUCCAUGUGCCCUUGGUCUGUGUGUGGGGACAGUAACUAAUACCACCCAGAGGGACAGAAACUGGAGUUUCAAAUGGCAGUGUUUCAGUAUAGGAUUAUCCAAUGGUGCAUACUUUUAGAAAAAUAUUUUUUUUUUAUGAAAAUACAAGAGGUGACUUGAUGGGUGAUUAGAUAUGAUCAAAAUAAUUUCUAAUUUGACAAAUCAUACUGUGAACAGGAAGCUGAGAAUGGUUGUGUCUUAAUUUCCAAAACAGCAAAGGGGGAGAGGUGUAACCACAAGUGGGUUUUACAUCACUUUUAUGUGACACAUCACCUCCAUCUUAGGAAAUGUCACUUUAGGACAUAAUACAUUUGCCUAUUAAGCCGAAUAACAGCCAUAUUGUUUCUGCUGAUUUUAUGUGAAUACCUGAAAAGAAUCAGAUUUGAAAAUAAUUACCCAUACAAAGAAGAUAGGUGCCAAAUGGAUUCUUUCAUGUGUAUCAAUUUGAAGGCAUCUCUAUGUAUUUUUAUGGGAAACAGAAAAGUGUAGGAAAGAAACCUGUAAACAACUGUAAUUCUUUAUUACAACACUGUUAUUGAAUUCGGAUUAUCUGGAAAUGAUGUUAUAUAUUAACAAUUUGUUUGUUAGUUGCCCAUUGUAAAUCUUAUUUAUGUUCUUGAAUUUUUGAGAAAUAAACUUUUCUAUGUAUCAUU